RNAcentral lists this ribosomal RNA (253 nucleotides) under uncultured bacterium. RNAcentral describes it as "partial 16S ribosomal RNA". It matches the Rfam family "Bacterial small subunit ribosomal RNA", at positions 524 to 776 of the family's 1533-position model. The record is from RNAcentral.
UACGUAGGGUGCAAGCGUUAAUCGGAAUUACUGGGCGUAAAGCGUGCGCAGGCGGUGAUGUAAGACAGAUGUGAAAUCCCCCGGCUUAACCUGGGAACUGCGUCUGAUACUGGAAGGCUUGAGUAUGGGAGAGGGAUGUAGAAUUCCAGGUGUAGCGGUGAAAUGCGUAGAUAUCUGGAGGAAUACCGGUGGCGAAGGCGGCAUCCUGGACCAUUACUGACGCUGAGGCGCGAAAGCUAGGGGAGCAAACGGG